AUCCAGCUGACAAGUCCCAAACAGGACGAGACGCGUGUCCUGGAU
This is a non-coding RNA of Schistosoma mansoni, 45 nucleotides long. Lineage: Eukaryota; Metazoa; Platyhelminthes; Trematoda; Strigeidida; Schistosomatidae. The record is from Rfam.